GCAACGCCUUCGGAUGACUUGUGGUAAGGAGUGAAAAGCUAAUCGAACGAGGAAAUAGCUGGUUCUCUCCGAAAUAGUUUUUGGACUAGCCUCGGAUCAUGCUUGACGGGAGGUAAAGCACUGGAUCGUCCAUAAUUGCCGAAAGGCAGGUGGACGAAUCAAACUCUGAAUGCCCGUUCAGUUAUUCCGGGAGUCAGUACGCGGGGGCUAAGCUCCGCGGUACAUGAGGGGAAGAGCCCUGAUCACAAACUAAGGCCCCUAAAUCCAUGCUCAGUGGUUAAGGUGGUGAAGUUUCUCAAACAGCAAGGAGGUUGGCUUAGAAGCAGCCACCCUUUAAAGAGUGCGUAACAGCUCACUUGUCAAGAGACUUUGCGCUAAAAAUUCAACGGGGCUAAGCAUGGUGCCGAAGUUGUGGGUUAUGUGCCUGAAUUUUGGAACACGAAGUGUUCCAAGAAAGGAAAAACAAGAUGAAAGACGGUGCGCGACGAAAGGUCCAGCUUAACAAAGCAACGAAGGACCUGAAAAUCAACGAACGCGUUAGAGGAUCGCACGUCUCAUGAAUAUCUAGCUGAUCGCUUACGCGAUCAGCUCCAAAAUUCAGGCACAUAGCGGUAGGAGAGCAUUUCAAAUGCCGUGAAGGUCGACCCGCGAGGGCGACUGGAGCGUUUGGAAGAGAGAAUGUUGGCACAAGUAACCACAAGACAGGUGAAAACCCUGUCCGCCGAAAACCCAAGGUUUCCUUGGCAAUGACAAUCAUCCAAGGUUUAGUCGGCCCUAAGGCAAUGGCGAAAGCCGCAGCCGAUGGAAGGCUGGUUAAUAUUCCAGCACUGUAUUUUUGAUCGAUGGCGGGUCGGAGCGAAGUAUAUCAGGCGUAUUAUUGGAUUUACGUUUGCGGUGUGAGGAUUGGGCGUAGGAAAAUCCGCGCCCGUGGGGGAAACUCCGGAUCCAAGCAUUGUGAAAAUCAUGCGGGGCAACCCAAUUGAAAUCUGAUAAAGCUCGCUUCCAAGAAAAGCGUCUAAGAUUAUCAAAAAUGCAACCGUACCGGAAACCGACACAGGUGGGUUGGUCGAGUAGACCAAGGCGAACGAGUGAGUCUUCGUUAAGGAACUAGGCAAAAAAGCAGCCGUAAGUUCGCGAUAAGGCUUGCCCUGUGCGCAGCACAGGGAAAUUCUAAAUUCUAAUUUCUAAACUCUAAACAAAUUCAAAAUUCUAAACUCAAAUUUUUCCAAACAUGUUUUUGGUUUUUUGAAGAUCGGGAUUUGUUUAGGAUUUAGGAUUUCGGGUUUAGGAUUUUCCCGUGCUGUGCGCGGGGCUGCAACAAAAGUACCCCUGGCGACUGUUUACCAAAAACACAGGUCCCUGCUAACUCGUAAGAGGAUGUAUAGGGGCUGACGCCUGACCGAUGCGAGAAGGUCAAAGAUUGCCGUAUAGGUGUUGAGAUUAUAUCAAGAUGUUUAUGCACGCGGUCUUAAGCCCUCGUCAAUGUCAGCAAUAACUAUAAUUGUUCUAAGGUAGCGCAAUUCCUUUUCGGGUAAGUUCCGAAGCGCACGAAAGGCGUAACGAUCGGGGGACUGUCUCAACGAAGAGCUCGGUGAAAAUACAAUGCCGGUGAAGAUGCCGGUUACCUGCAGUUAGACGAAAAGACCCCGGGAGCUUUACUGUAGCUUGGUAUUGGGUCUAGGUUUUUUCUGCGUAGCAUAGGCGGGAGAGGUUGAUCCCCGGUUUUCGGAUCGGGGGGACUCGUCAGUGAAAUACCGCUCUUAAAAAACUUAGAUUCUAACC
Molecule: ribosomal RNA, 1782 nt
Filed under: Candidatus Sungbacteria bacterium RIFCSPLOWO2_01_FULL_47_10
Lineage: Bacteria; Candidatus Sungiibacteriota
Description: bacterial LSU rRNA
Rfam family: Bacterial large subunit ribosomal RNA
Source: RNAcentral